Acanthosepion pharaonis is the source of this 112-nucleotide non-coding RNA. NCBI's taxonomy places the organism in Eukaryota, Metazoa, Mollusca, Cephalopoda, Sepiida, Sepiidae. The record is from the annotation of a GenBank genome assembly.
GACGAUCAUAUGACAUUGAAACGCCGGUUCCUGUGCGAUCACCUAAGUUAAGCAGCGUCGAGCCUGGUCAGUACCUAGAUAGGUGACAGCUUGGGAAUACCAGGUGCUGUAA